AUUGAACGCUGGCGGCAUGCCUUACACAUGCAAGUCGAACGGUAACAGGUCUUCGGAUGCUGACGAGUGGCGAACGGGUGAGUAAUACAUCGGAACGUGCCCGAGAGUGGGGGAUAACGGAGCGAAAGCUUUGCUAAUACCGCAUACGAUCUACGGAUGAAAGCAGGGGACCGCAAGGCCUUGCGCUCAUGGAGCGGCCGAUGGCAGCUUAGGUAGUUGGUGGGGUAACAGCUUACCAAGCCGAGGAUCUGUAGCUGGGCUGAGAGGACGACCAGCCACACUGGGACUGAGACACGGCCCAGACUCCUACGGCAUGCAGCAGUGGGGAAUUUUGGAUAAUGGGCGCAAGCCUGAUCCGGCCAUGCCGCGUGGAGGAUGAAGGCCUUCGUGUUGUAAACUGCUUUUGUACGGAACGAAAAGCCUCUUUCGAAUAAAGAGAGGUCAUGACGGUACCGUAAGAAUAAGCACCGGCUAACUACGUGGCAGCCGCCGCCGUAA
RNAcentral lists this ribosomal RNA (498 nucleotides) under uncultured bacterium. Its description in RNAcentral is "partial 16S ribosomal RNA". It matches the Rfam family "Bacterial small subunit ribosomal RNA", at positions 30 to 523 of the family's 1533-position model. The record is from RNAcentral.